AUUGACCGCUGGCGGCAGGCCUAACACAUGCAAGUCGAGCGGAGCGGCGGACGGGUGAGUAAUGCCUAGGAAUCUGCCUGGUCGUGGGGGAUAACGUCCGGAACCGGGCGCUAAUACCGCAUACUAUCAGAUGAGCCAAGGUCGGAUGAGCUAUUGGGUGGGGUAAAGGCAUACCAAGGCGACGAUCCCUAACUGGUCUGAGAGGAUGUUCAGUCAAACGGGAACUGAGACACGGUACAGACUCCUACGGGAGGCAGCAGUGGGGAAUAUUGGACAAUGGGCGAAAGCCUGAGCCGGCCAUGCCGCGUAUGUGAAGAAGGUCUUCGGAUUGUAAAGCACUUUAAGUUGGGAGGCGUUACCAACAGAAUAAGCACCGGCUAACUUCGUGCCAGCAGCCGCGGUAAUUC
RNAcentral lists this ribosomal RNA (407 nucleotides) under uncultured bacterium. RNAcentral describes it as "partial 16S ribosomal RNA". It matches the Rfam family "Bacterial small subunit ribosomal RNA", at positions 30 to 526 of the family's 1533-position model. The record is from RNAcentral.